AGAAUCAACGCUGGCGGCGUGCCUAACACAUGCAAGUCGAACGAGAAAGUGGAGCAAUCCAUGAGUAAAGUGGCGCACGGGUGAGUAACACGUGACUAACCUACCCUCGAGUGGGGAAUAACUUCGGGAAACCGAGGCUAAUACCGCAUAAUACCUAAGGGUCAAAGGAGCAAUCCGUUUGAGGAGGGGGUCGCGGCAGAUUAGUUAGUUGGCGGGGUAAUGGCCCACCAAGACGAUGAUCUGUAUCCGGCCUGAGAGGGCGCACGGACACACUGGAACUGAAACACGGUCCAGACUCCUACGGGAGGCAGCAGUGGGGAAUUUUGCGCAAUGGGGGAAACCCUGACGCAGCAACGCCGCGUGGAGGAUGAAAUCCCUUGGGAUGUAAACUCCUUUCGAUCGGGAAGAUAAUGACGGUACCGGAAGAAGAAGCCCCGGCUAACUUCGCGCCAGCAGCCGC
Molecule: ribosomal RNA, 460 nt
Filed under: uncultured bacterium
Lineage: Bacteria
Description: SSU rRNA
Rfam family: Bacterial small subunit ribosomal RNA
Source: RNAcentral